RNAcentral lists this ribosomal RNA (79 nucleotides) under Woeseiaceae bacterium. RNAcentral describes it as "partial 16S ribosomal RNA". The stretch from base 13 to 79 matches the Rfam family "Bacterial small subunit ribosomal RNA", at positions 1 to 67 of the family's 1533-position model. Lineage: Bacteria; Pseudomonadati; Pseudomonadota; Gammaproteobacteria; Woeseiales; Woeseiaceae. The record is from RNAcentral.
GCUACAAGCUUUAAACUGAAGAGUUUGAUCCUGGCUCAGAUUGAACGCUGGCGGCAUGCCUAACACAUGCAAGUCGAAC